RNAcentral lists this ribosomal RNA (554 nucleotides) under Streptomyces sp. 303C07. RNAcentral describes it as "bacterial SSU rRNA". It matches the Rfam family "Bacterial small subunit ribosomal RNA", at positions 93 to 661 of the family's 1533-position model. Lineage: Bacteria; Bacillati; Actinomycetota; Actinomycetes; Kitasatosporales; Streptomycetaceae. The record is from RNAcentral.
CAGUGGCGAACGGGUGAGUAACACGUGGGCANUCUGCCCUGCACUCUGGCACAAGCCCUGGAAACGGGGUCUAAUACCGGAUAAUACCUUCUCCCGCAUGGGGGNGGGUUGAAAGCUCCGGCGGUGCAGGAUGAGCCCGCGGCCUAUCAGCUUGUUGGUGGGGUAAUGGCCUACCAAGGCGACGACGGGUAGCCGGCCUGAGAGGGCGACCGGCCACACUGGGACUGAGACACGGCCCAGACUCCUACGGGAGGCAGCAGUGGGGAAUAUUGCACAAUGGGCGAAAGCCUGAUGCAGCGACGCCGCGUGAGGGAUGACGGCCUUCGGGUUGUAAACCUCUUUCAGCAGGGAAGAAGCGCAAGUGACGGUACCUGCAGAAGAAGCACCGGCUAACUACGUGCCAGCAGCCGCGGUAAUACGUAGGGUGCGAGCGUUGUCCGGAAUUAUUGGGCGUAAAGAGCUCGUAGGCGGUCUGUCGCGUCGGAUGUGAAAGCCCGGGGCUUAACCCCGGGUCUGCAUUCGAUACGGGCAGACUAGAGUGUGGUAGGGGAGAU